This is a long non-coding RNA of Carassius carassius (crucian carp), 926 nucleotides long. RefSeq lists it as uncharacterized. The transcript has 4 exons. NCBI's taxonomy places the organism in Eukaryota, Metazoa, Chordata, Actinopteri, Cypriniformes, Cyprinidae. The record is from RefSeq and is a predicted model, not a curated record.
CUAUACUUUCUCUAGACACAUGUCUGUUUAGCGGUUACGCCUGCUUAAGCACACACAGGCUCUCUUACAUGCACUUGCUAUGUCUGACCCGCAGGUCAUGCUGAAGUGACUUUGUGCCCCAUUUGUAACUGGGCCUCUUUGAAAGCGGGCCUCGCAUUCCUGCUCCGUCGGACGGGGACGUCCUGCUUAUUGCCAGCGAGUAGGAAGUUUCUGCCGUUAGGGAUUAUGUGCUGUUUCCUCACUCAGAAGCUUUCGGCUUGUCCCCUCCCACUUUCGAAAAAGCAGCGACUCCACAAACUAGAAAACGGAGCAAACUAAAUACCUGCCUCUCUGACCACCAGCUUCAGCCUUUCAGCCCUGCUCGUCUGCGCUUGUGCGAUUGCUGGGAGGAGGCAGCCUCGUUCCAUCCGCUUUUGUGUGGUUGUACAGAAGUGCUGCGGUUGGGAGGAGGAGGAGGUGAAGGGGAACAGCUGCUCCCCCACAGAAGCCGGUUUCCCAGCCUGACAGGCAGCGAGAGCAGCCAGUGCCGGGGCUUUUUUCCCGGGGGUUGGUUCGCAAGUCUCCGCAGCUCCAGCUAGGAGGGAGAUUUUUAUGGCGGCGGCGAAACACGAAAUGGACCAGAACAAGUAGGAUUCUUUCCUUCACAAGGCCAGGCUCUCAUGAUCUCCCACAGAAAUCAGGAGCAGUUAUGAAUACAUCUCCACUGAAACUCGACCAGGUUUCUCUCAGCCGAUGGGACUCCAGUGGACCCCACGGCUGCUCUGAGCGUCUUCCACCAGUCAGAGCUCUUAACCCAUCGGAUGGCGGUUAGCGGUGGCCGCAGGUGCUCCUGUUACCUGCACGGAGAGCUGCUGUGUAGAAAUGAAGAAGUGUGUGUGUAUAAGUUUGCAGUAGCAGUUUCAGCAGGUGAGUCUGACACACAAAUA